RNAcentral lists this ribosomal RNA (524 nucleotides) under uncultured fungus. Its description in RNAcentral is "eukaryotic LSU rRNA". The stretch from base 166 to 319 matches the Rfam family "5.8S ribosomal RNA". The record is from RNAcentral. Lineage: Eukaryota; Fungi.
UGAACCUGCGGAAGGAUCAUUACCUAGAGUUUGUAGACUUCGGNCUGCUACCUCUUACCCAUGUCUUUUGAGUACCUUCGUUUCCUCGGCGGGUCCGCCCGCCGAUUGGACAACAUUCAAACCCUUUGCAGUUGCAAUCAGCGUCUGAAAAAACAUAAUAGUUACAACUUUCAACAACGGAUCUCUUGGUUCUGGCAUCGAUGAAGAACGCAGCGAAAUGCGAUAAGUAGUGUGAAUUGCAGAAUUCAGUGAAUCAUCGAAUCUUUGAACGCACAUUGCGCCCCUUGGUAUUCCAUGGGGCAUGCCUGUUCGAGCGUCAUUUGUACCUUCAAGCUCUGCUUGGUGUUGGGUGUUUGUCUCGCCUCUGCGUGUAGACUCGCCUUAAAACAAUUGGCAGCCGGCGUAUUGAUUUCGGAGCGCAGUACAUCUCGCGCUUUGCACUCAUAACGACGACGUCCAAAAGUACAUUUUUACACUCUCGACCUCGGAUCAGGUAGGGAUACCCGCUGAACUUAAGCAUAUCA